GCCCGUGUGGCGCAAUCGGAUAGCGCGUGUGGCUUCUAACCACAAGGUUGGGGGUUCAAGUCCCCCCACGGGUA
RNAcentral lists this transfer RNA (74 nucleotides) under Flavobacteriales bacterium. RNAcentral describes it as "tRNA-Arg". It matches the Rfam family "tRNA". Rfam says of the family: Transfer RNA (tRNA) molecules are approximately 80 nucleotides in length. The record is from RNAcentral. Lineage: Bacteria; Pseudomonadati; Bacteroidota; Flavobacteriia; Flavobacteriales.